RNAcentral lists this ribosomal RNA (1443 nucleotides) under metagenome. Its description in RNAcentral is "bacterial SSU rRNA". It matches the Rfam family "Bacterial small subunit ribosomal RNA". The record is from RNAcentral.
AGAGUUUGAUCCUGGCUCAGGAUGAACGCUGGCGGCGUGCUUAACACAUGCAAGUCGAACGAGCCUUCGGGCUAGUGGCGGACGGGUGAGUAACGCGUGGGAAUCUGCCCUCAGGAGGGGGAUAACGGCCGGAAACGGCCGCUAAUACCCCAUAUGCCGAGAGGUGAAACGAAUUUCGCCUGAGGAUGAGCCCGCGUCUGAUUAGCUAGUUGGUGAGGUAAUGGCUCACCAAGGCAUCGAUCAGUAGCUGGUCUGAGAGGAUGAUCAGCCACACUGGGACUGAGACACGGCCCAGACUCCUACGGGAGGCAGCAGUGGGGAAUUUUCCGCAAUGGGCGCAAGCCUGACGGAGCAACGCCGCGUGAGGGACGAAGGCCUCUGGGCUGUAAACCUCUUUUCUCAAGGAAGAAGACAUGACGGUACUUGAGGAAUAAGCCACGGCUAAUUCCGUGCCAGCAGCCGCGGUAAUACGGGAGUGGCAAGCGUUAUCCGGAAUUAUUGGGCGUAAAGCGUCCGCAGGCGGCCUUGAAAGUCUGUUGUUAAAGCGUGGAGCUCAACUCCAUUUCAGCAAUGGAAACUACAAGGCUAGAGUGUGGUAGGGGCAGAGGGAAUUCCCGGUGUAGCGGUGAAAUGCGUAGAUAUCGGGAAGAACACCAGUGGCGAAGGCGCUCUGCUGGGCCAUAACUGACGCUCAUGGACGAAAGCCAGGGGAGCGAAAGGGAUUAGAUACCCCUGUAGUCCUGGCCGUAAACGAUGAACACUAGGUGUCGGGAGAAUUAACCCUUUCGGUGUCGUAGCCAACGCGUUAAGUGUUCCGCCUGGGGAGUACGCACGCAAGUGUGAAACUCAAAGGAAUUGACGGGGGCCCGCACAAGCGGUGGAGUAUGUGGUUUAAUUCGAUGCAACGCGAAGAACCUUACCAGGGUUUGACAUCCUGCAAAUCCUUUGGAAACUUAGGAGUGCCUUCGGGAGCGCAGUGACAGGUGGUGCAUGGCUGUCGUCAGCUCGUGUCGUGAGAUGUUGGUUAAGUCCCGCAACGAGCGCAACCCACGUCUUUAGUUGCCAGCAUUUAGUUGGGCACUCUAGAGAGACCGCCGGUGAUAAACCGGAGGAAGGUGUGGAUGACGUCAAGUCAUCAUGCCCCUUACAUCCUGGGCUACACACGUACUACAAUGCUACGGACAAAGGGCAGCAAACUCGCGAGAUCUAGCAAAUCCCAUAAACCGUGGCUCAGUUCAGAUCGUAGGCUGCAACUCGCCUACGUGAAGGAGGAAUCGCUAGUAAUCGCAGGUCAGCAUACUGCGGUGAAUACGUUCCCGGGCCUUGUACACACCGCCCGUCACACCAUGGAAGUUGGCCAUGCCCGAAGUCGUUACUCCAACCCGCAAGGGAGGAGGACGCCGAAGGUGGGGCUGAUGACUGGGGUGAAGUCGUAACAAGGUA